Folsomia candida is the source of this 1333-nucleotide long non-coding RNA. RefSeq lists it as uncharacterized. Lineage: Eukaryota; Metazoa; Arthropoda; Collembola; Entomobryomorpha; Isotomidae. The record is from RefSeq and is a predicted model, not a curated record. The transcript has 3 exons.
AUACUUGCACAGCCAGUGGUACACAUAAAUGUACAUAUGCUAGCAGGUAUCCAGGAGUUUCAACCCUUUCUUCUCCCGUAAAAUUAGUCAUUACAUAUUACUGAUCGUGAACGUGAAUUUUAUUCUGGACUUCAUCCCUGUGUAUUUCUUGCUAAAUUGCCCAAGUCUCUGGCAGCAUAUAACGUACAAGUGGCAAUCACUAAAUAUUACACUAAAUAUUACAUAGUAUAAAGGGGUAAUUUUCUCAUCCGAAGGGAGCGUUGCUGCAAUUACUUUUGUAUUGUGAUCUAAAGUCAAUCGAUGCCAUAGCCAAUAGUUUUUUUUAAAUCGUGUGUGUGCCUUCGUCAUUUAAUAAGCCGUGCUUACAUAAAUACGGUAAAACAGACAAGUUGGGGUUACUAACUAAAAUGGAAACCGAAGCAUCAUAUCCUGCAUUUUUGGAGUUUGUUAAAGAAAUCAAUUCUAUACUGGAGUCAUUUUCCAAGCUUGGAAAGGGUUAUGCCUCAUCCUUGAAAUCUUGUUCUGCCAUGUCAGCCACUUAAAAAAAAUUUGAUAUAGUGAUGACUAACAAACCUGCGAGUGAGAAAGUCGAGUUGGCCAAAUUUAUCCAUAACGUAUUUCUGCAUCCUUUUCUGCGCCAGACAGAAGUCGCAUUAAAAGUUCAAGAAGGAAACCAAUGUCCAGAUAUACUCCGUUUUCCGUGUUUGAAGGAGAUUUUGAAUUUUCUGCACAAAUAUGAAAAUAAUUCCACCCUAGAACUUUUACGUGACGUGGUGAAAGCGUUUCAUACUUUGACACCGAAUCAAUUUCUUUUUUUGCAAUACUCACGACCAGAACUGCCGGUCGUUCUGUGGGAUGCUAUUCAACAUGUUGGCAAUUUCCCUGGAAAAUUUGAACCUUGUCAAUGCAGCGAAGAAGAUAAUACAACGUACAACUUAACCCUGGGUAUCAAUGAAAUCAAGCAACUCAAACACUCCACAAAUGCCGUCACGUUUGUCGAAUCUGAUGAGUAAUAGUAAUGUAUGUAAUAUUUCAUGUAAAAGUUAUGAUUGAGAUGAUAUGUAUGAAUGUUAGUUUUAGGUUGCCCCUGACAUUUGAGUGUCCCGCACGAGCGCAGUCUUUCGUCAUCUCAUUGUUUUAUUGGCCCUCAUUUUUAGUUCGUUAAAAGUACUCAAGUAAUGUGGACGUGUUUUUGAGAGAAUGUUCACAAUUAAUUAAUCCACAGUAAAUAAAGUAGCAAUUAUUUAAGAGAUUUAUAACAAGUUUUAUGUUAUAUUUAUUUUGCUACUCUGAGUGGAUUUAUGAGCUGACCUCCUACUCGUAGUAAUCAUCC